This 573-nucleotide ribosomal RNA is filed under the name Triticum aestivum (bread wheat). RNAcentral's name for it is "partial small subunit ribosomal RNA". Lineage: Eukaryota; Viridiplantae; Streptophyta; Magnoliopsida; Poales; Poaceae. The record is from RNAcentral.
AUGCUCGUCCGCACCCUCAUCGCCCGCCUCCGCCCCCGCCUCGCCCCGUCGCUCGCCGGCCUCGGCGGCUGCGCGUCGGCGGUCGCCUCCGCCGCCGCCACCGACAUCGUCGUCGACGAGGACGCGCCGCGGCCCCUCGGGUCGCCCGUGCCGGUCGGGGUCGGGGCCGCCGCCGCCGCCAUCGCGGCCACCGUGCCCACCGUCCUGCAGCCGCGCGUGCUCAUCUACGACGGCGUCUGCCACCUCUGCCACCGCGGAGUGAAGUGGGUGUUCAGGACGGACAAGCACGCCAAGAUCAGGUUCUGCUGCCUGCAGUCCAAGGCCGCGGAGCCGUACCUGAGGCUGGUGGGCAUGGACCGGGAGGACGUGCUGCGCCGCGUUCUCUUCAUCGAGGGGCCUGAGGCCUACUACGAGGGCUCCACUGCUGCGCUGAAAGUUGCAUCAUACCUGCCUCUUCCCUACUCGGUGCUGAGCUCCCUGCUGAUCAUCCCCGUCCCACUGAAGACGCAGCCUACGAUUACAUUGCAAGGAACCGGUACGACUGGUUCGGCAAAGAUGACGAGUGUCUGGUGA